AAGACCCAAAAUAAAAAAAAAAACCUAAUUCCUCUAACCUUCAGAGAACAUCCGCCCUCCUCCGCCACCGAAAUUACCUCACGGCGGUGCCGGUGAUCCAAACGCCCUCAUCUUUACGCCAUCAAACCCCCACAACCUUCUCAUUCCAAUCCCAUGCUCACCUCCCUUCGAAUCAAGCCCGGAUGCCUCGAAUCUCGAUUUUAAGUCAAGCACCCUAGCCGCCGCCACAAGAUCCCCGGUGGAACCGUCCCAAAUUAACACCCAUUCACCUCCUUGACUCUCUCACCCCAAAUCCAUGACUAGAUUUACUCAAAGUUUACCCUAGAUUCUCGAAUCUUAAAUCCGAGGACGAACCUUACAAAUCCAAAAAAACAAAAAAAAUAGGGAAAUGGAGUCCUCAUCAGCGGAUUGGGUUUAUUUAGACUCUAUUCGUGUGUUUUGCUAAAAACACACAAAUAAGGUCAAGAUGGACCGAAAUUAGAGGAAUUCGAAGAAUUCAAGUCCGGAGCUCAAAUUUGACAAUAAGUCCGUUUACUUCCAAGUUAGUUCUAAUUCUUAUUUUGGUAUUGACAUCUCUUCUUCUUUCCUUUUCUGUUAGUUUGAAAUUUCCAAAAAAAAAUAAUAAAGAAGGGAAUCUGUUUUUAAGUGUGAAACCUGUUCUGAUUGUUUUCUGUUGAUUUUUUUUGCUCCUAAUCACACGACAAUGUCAUUCAAUGUGUUUAGUUGUUUCUUUUGGUCAAUUAUCGAUUUUGAUUAUUAGCUUGACUGCACUGUUUAGCCGAAACUCAUAAUAGUUAAACUCUUAGUCACUGGCUGCUUAUUUGUAUGCUAUAUCGUCUUGUUUGAUAAUUAAGGAGUGUCAGUGAUUUUCCUUAAUUAAGUAGUCAGUUCAGAUGAAACUAAUGAACCGUUAGAAUAAUGAAAUUGGGAACUGUUUAAACUAAUGAAAUAGUUUAAUCAGUAAUGGGGGUUGAUGAUUGUUUAAAACACUGUCAGAAAAAUAGAAAUCACAUGGGCACCAUUUCACAAGGUUUGAAGGAAUUGAAUAGAAAAAUAGGCUGCCGAUACUUAAUUGAAUAGGAAAAUAGGCUGCCCAUACCCCUGUAAUUUAAUAAAGAAAGAAACAAGGGAUUUGUAAAUAAAUUGCUAUCAACUCUCAGAUUCAAGGGAUGAUCUUAAAUACUAAAAUUGACUUCAUGAUUCAGUUAUUAGCCACUUUAGAUAGCUUCACAUGACUGAUUAUGCCAAAUCUAUGUGAUAUAUGAAAUUGAAGUAGUAUUUAAGUAGUACUUUCGAAUGAGCAUAUGGGUAGAAUCUGAUAGUAAAUGUUCACGAUUAUCAAAUUAGCCCAUUAGGUUUGAUAGUUUAACUUAGUUAGUUAUACUUUAGUUUGUUCAAUACACUCAGAAUAUUACAAUGAUUCGUUCAAUGACUGCUUGAUGAAAUCGGAGAGCAUCUUGGUCUGUUUAAUUAAUUGAGCUUGACGGCUCAUUGUUGAAAGUGUAGGAUCAAUUAGGCCAAUUUUCACUUAUUUGGACUUGAUUGAAAGAGUUCAAUUCAUAAUCUAAUACAGUAUAAUUCAAUUCUUAAUAAAUUAGGACUUUUCUUUUAUUUGUAGAGACAGUGAAAAAUAGAAAAUCAUAGAUACUUUUAAGAUGGGUUUUUAAAAAAUGAGAUGAGUGUCGCCAAAUAAAAAUGCAAAUUGUGGUGCCCUCGAUAAUAUUAUAUUAAAAUACUUAGAUUCUGGGACUUUUCCCAAAACAAUGUCGUGUUAGACUCUUUAGGAGCGAUUUAAAUAAAAUUACAUUCUCAAAUACAGGUGUGCAUUUCAUGUGACCCAAAUCCAAAUCAUAAAAUAUUGUAUAAAAAUGAUUCGGGUGCAUUUCAUGUGACGUGAUCCGGAAACAUAUUUUUUAAACGAUGUUUACUUUCUUAAAAAUUUUAAUUAAAGCGGUAAACAAUCUUUAAAAUUGCACAAUAUGAUAACAUGUAUUAAAAUCAUAUAUCAAGCCAUUUAUAAUAGUUUAAGCGUCUGUGCUAGAACUACGGGAUCCGGAGGUGCCUAACACCUUCCAUCGGGUCAACAAAAUUCCUUACUUAGAAUUUCUGGUUCGCAGACUUCACUUGGAAAGUAAAAAAUUUCCUCGAUUUGGGAUUUAAGAUAAACCGGUGACGUGGGACACCAAAAGCCAAUCAUAUCCUAAGUGGAGACUCUAAUAAAUAAAUAAUCUUAUUUCGAAUAAUGUCACUUAAAAUGAAAAAACUCUCGUAUACAUUUAUCCCUCGGGGUAGGUGCGUAAAAAGGAGGUGUGACAGUAUGCACAAGAUUUGUUUGGGUUAACACACUGAUAAAAGCUCUUAGGUGUUUCAGCAGGGAUGGGGGUGACAUAACCAGCAGCGUUGAGUCUCUCAUACAACUAGUCAAUGGGUUCAGCAAUGGCUGUAUAUUGUUUUGGGGGUAUGCAGUCAAAAUUAGGCCGGUGUCUAGGGAAGUUUUGGUGUGCAGGGGGUGAUUGGUAAUGGGGUGGUUGAGCAUUAUAGGUUUGGUAUACAUGAGUGAGUUGGGAGUAUCCGGGUGAAGUAGGUUGGUAUGUAGGAGGUGGAAGUGACUGAUAAGUUGGUGGUGGAGCUUGAUAUGAGGGUGAGGGUGCUUGGUAGUUCAGAUUUGGCUAAUAUGUGAGUGGAGGUGUUAGGUAAGUUUGGUAUUUGAUGAGAGAUUUGGUCCUUUGUGCAACCAUUACGGCCCUCACAUCCCUUUUUUUAGACACACCACCGGACUGUAAAGCCUUAUUGGUAGCUUGCAAGGCCUCGAAGUUUGUAACCAUACUGCUUUUGAUGCAUUCUUCAUUUCUUUUCACCCAAUUUGAUAAUGCCGGAGAAUUUUUGAUUCUCAAUCAUCAUCGGCCGUUCAUAGUACUGUGGGUCCUGACCCCAAACAAAGAACUUGUUUAUCUGCUCCUCUUCUAAGGCAGGUCUAACCUUGGCAGCUUCGGGCCUCUAGCGAGUAGCAUACUCGCGAAAUAUUUCUGUAUGCUUCUUCUUUAGAUUCUGAAUGUAGAACACAUUCAGCACAUUCUCCGUAUUAAACCUGAACCUAUCCAUAAAGUCGGACGUCAUGCCUACGCAACUUGACCACUUCUUUGGAUCUUAGCUCAUGUACUAAGACAAUGCAUCUCUCUUCAGGAAAAGCUUCAUGCGGAUUCUUUCAUCAUUUCAUACUCAAACCAGCUUAUCGCAGUAUGUCCUUAGAUGGACCCUUGGAUCACUCGUACCAUGAAACAUCUCGAACGUAGGGGGUUUGUAGCCCCCGGGCAGUUUGACGUCAGGCUGUAUGCAAAGAUCCUCAUAGUCCAGCACAUCGAUUCCCUUGCUUCCCUCAACGCGCUGAAUUUGGCUAGUCAAUUUCUUAAGUUCCUCAGCCAUAUUUCUGAUAAGCAGAUCAUUUUUUUUGACUUAGGUGUGUUUGAGAUAGGUUGGGUGGAGUGUAGCAUAGUCUCCACAUAGAUAGGGGUGUUAUAGUAGCCGGGUGUAUGGGUAAGGAAAUGGUCCUUUGUGGAGUUUUGAGGUUCUGGGAUGAGUAUUGGGGUGUUGUUUAGGAUAUGGCAGAUGCUGCAUUGGGUUUUAGUGGAACAAUGUGUUGCUUGGGGAUGUUUUACGGAGGUGUAGGGUUUUGAGUGUUGGGAGUUGAUAUCUGGGGUGCUGAGGGGAAAUGACAGGUUUGCCAAAUUCUGAACCUGAUCAAGUCAUUCCUGAAAUUUUAGCAGCUUUUGUUCAAGUUAUGACCCAUUCUCCUUAGGAACCUGAGUACUAUAGCCAUUAGUAGUCUUUACCUGUUCAUUUGGAUUCUCCUUUCUGUUGUUAUUUAGAUUUUUCAUCUUGCUUUUGUUCUUGUUUCUGACAGGACUAAGCAGAGGAGUGGUUAGAGGGCCCCUGGAUCUCAUGGAAUAAG
RNAcentral lists this long non-coding RNA (3949 nucleotides) under Nicotiana benthamiana. Its description in RNAcentral is "long non-coding RNA (NBEN_LNC004635)". Lineage: Eukaryota; Viridiplantae; Streptophyta; Magnoliopsida; Solanales; Solanaceae. The record is from RNAcentral.